RNAcentral lists this ribosomal RNA (524 nucleotides) under uncultured bacterium. RNAcentral's name for it is "partial 16S ribosomal RNA". It matches the Rfam family "Bacterial small subunit ribosomal RNA", at positions 28 to 523 of the family's 1533-position model. The record is from RNAcentral.
GACGAACGCUGGCGGCGUGCCUAAUACAUGCAAGUCGAGCGCAGGAAACUGACGGAACUCUUCGGAGGGAAGGCAGUGGAAUGAGCGGCGGACGGGUGAGUAACACGUAAGGAACCUGCCUCAAGGAUUGGGAUAACUCCGAGAAAUCGGAGCUAAUACCGGAUAGUUCAUCGGACCGCAUGGUCCGUUGAUGAAAGGCGCUCCGGCGUCACCUUGAGAUGGCCUUGCGGUGCAUUAGCUAGUUGGUGGGGUAACGGCCCACCAAGGCGACGAUGCAUAGCCGACCUGGGUGGGUGAUAGGCCACACUGGGACUGAGACACGGGCCAGACUCCUACGGGAGUCAGCAGUAGGGAAUCUUCCACAAUGGACGAAAGUCUGAUGGAGCAACGCCGCGUGAGUGAUGAAGGUUUUCGGAUCGUAAAACUCUGUUGUAAGGGAAGAACACGUACGAGAGGGAAUGCUCGUGCCUUGACGGUACCUUACGAGAAAGCCACGGCUAACUACGUGCCAGCAGCCGCAGUAA